UGGGGAGCCCCUGGCCCUUCCUCAAGGGCUAACCCGAGCCUUCUGCAGGACUGGACCUCGCCUCCCUGGCCCCCGGGGCCUAUCAGAGCGAGGGCCCGGAUGCGCCCAGUGACGUCACACCAGUCACUCCCCCCCACCCCCACAAUUCAGCCGUGGGACACGCAACUGUCCCCGACCGGGCGAAGAGCGCGUCGGCCCGGACCGCGUCUGCGCACGCGCACAGUCCGCUAAAGAGGCCGCUCUAGGCCCGCAGUCCGCCUCGUUGGCCUGGGCACGCGCGCGCACGCGCGCCGCCCGCCCGGCACGCCCGAGCGGGAGGGCUGUUCCCCGUGUAUCCCCACGUUCUUCUCACACAUCUCCGCGCAAACACGGCGCGGGCCGCGCUCCUGCGAGCGGGAAGCGGGGUCGCUCUUCCCCGGAAGGCUAACCGGCCCUCCCUCGGCGCUCACGGCCUCCGUCUGCUCGCGGCCCACGAUCCCCCGGCAUGGGGGCGUGUUUCCGGUGGCGAGGCUCGGAGCCCUCCGCCUUUCCUGCACCGGAAUGGCUCAGGCAACGCUUCUUCCUCCGCAGGCUAUUAGUUCUUCCCGUCGCCUCGUCCUAAGAGUACUGCAUUAAAAAAUAAAUAAAUAAAAUCCGGUUUGUUAUGCAAGCAGCAUCCCAACAGUACACAAUUAUAUCAAAAAUAGCUAAGCGAUUAAAAAAAAAAAGUCUGGCGUGGUUGAGGCAGGAGGAUUGCAGUGAAUUCUAAAUCCAGCCUGGGCUACGUAGUGAGACUGUUGUCUCAAAAACCACGGAGGGAAGGGAGGCGGAACAAUGGAGCGGAGUAGUCCGUACAUUUGGGAGGCUGAGUUUCAGUGGUGUGACUCCCUGGGUAACAGUCUGAAGAACUUGCCAGUGGCAGCACUUCACCUGGGAAGCAGCACUCAGGAGGCAGGUGGAUCUCUGUGAGUUCGAGGCCAGCCUGGUCUAUAUAAUGAGUUCCAGGACAGCCAGAGCUCCACGGUGGAACCCAAGAGUUAGGAUAUCUGCAGCCUAGGAUGCCUAACAGCACCAAUCUGAGAAUGAAGAACAUCCCUACUGAUAGCAAGAAAUAAUCCAAACAGAAGGACUCAGCCUUCUGGGAUAUGCAGAAAGUCUGGCAAAGGCUGACAUUGGACUAAUGAAUACAGACUGACAUGCCAUAGGCAAGGAGAAUGAAGUUUUCAACUAAGGAAUCUAAAGGCCCUGAGACAAAUGAGACAUCUGAAGGAGAAGGGAGAAUCAUCCAGAGAAAAUGUCCCAAGAAAAAGAGAAAAUUGUCCUAUUGGUAUAGCACAUUUCCAACAAAAUAAAAUUUCAUAAAUCUUCCCAAAUGUUUGUUUCUGCUGUUCUCUACAGACAUCUAAGGC
This 1388-nucleotide long non-coding RNA is filed under the name Cricetulus griseus (Chinese hamster). RNAcentral's name for it is "lncRNA (ENSCGRG00015035413.1)". Lineage: Eukaryota; Metazoa; Chordata; Mammalia; Rodentia; Cricetidae. The record is from RNAcentral.